This 253-nucleotide ribosomal RNA is filed under the name uncultured bacterium. RNAcentral describes it as "partial 16S ribosomal RNA". It matches the Rfam family "Bacterial small subunit ribosomal RNA", at positions 524 to 776 of the family's 1533-position model. The record is from RNAcentral.
UACGGAGGGGACUAGCGUUGUUCGGAAUUACUGGGCGUAAAGGGCGCGUAGGCGGCCUUCUAAGUCGAACGUGAAAUCCCCGGGCUCAACCCGGGAACUGCGUCCGAUACUGGAAGGCUUGAAUCCGGGAGAGGGAUGUGGAAUUCCAGGUGUAGCGGUGAAAUGCGUAGAUAUCUGGAGGAACACCGGUGGCGAAGGCGACAUCCUGGACCGGUAUUGACGCUGAGGCGUGAAAGCCAGGGGAGCAAACGGG